RNAcentral lists this ribosomal RNA (468 nucleotides) under uncultured bacterium. RNAcentral's name for it is "partial 16S ribosomal RNA". It matches the Rfam family "Bacterial small subunit ribosomal RNA", at positions 28 to 507 of the family's 1533-position model. The record is from RNAcentral.
GACGAACGCUGGCGGCGUGCUUAACACAUGCAAGUCGAACGGGAAGGCCCUGCUUUUGUGGGGUGCUCGAGUGGCGAACGGGUGAGUAACACGUGAGUAACCUGCCCUUGACUUUGGGAUAACUUCAGGAAACUGGGGCUAAUACCGGAUAGGAGCUCCUGCUGCAUGGUGGGGGUUGGAAAGUUUCGGCGGUUGGGGAUGGACUCGCGGCUUAUCAGCUUGUUGGUGGGGUAGUGGCUUACCAAGGCUUUGACGGGUAGCCGGCCUGAGAGGGUGACCGGCCACAUUGGGACUGAGAUACGGCCCAGACUCCUACGGGAGGCAGCAGUGGGGAAGAUUGCACAAUGGGCGGAAGCCUGAUGCAGCAACGCCGCGUGCGGGAUGACGGCCUUCGGGUUGUAAACCGCUUUCGCCUGUGACGAAGCGUGAGUGACGGUAAUGGGUAAAGAAGCACCGGCUAACUACGUG